This 543-nucleotide ribosomal RNA is filed under the name Flavobacterium sp. FlavoEI_XDFr2BE5_F04_30. RNAcentral's name for it is "bacterial SSU rRNA". It matches the Rfam family "Bacterial small subunit ribosomal RNA", at positions 66 to 610 of the family's 1533-position model. Lineage: Bacteria; Pseudomonadati; Bacteroidota; Flavobacteriia; Flavobacteriales; Flavobacteriaceae. The record is from RNAcentral.
GGGGUAUUAGUUUUCGGACUAAGAGACCGGCGCACGGGUGCGUAACGCGUAUGCAAUCUACCUUUUACAGAGGGAUAGCCCAGAGAAAUUUGGAUUAAUACCUCAUAGUAUAAUGACUCGGCAUCGAGAUAUUAUUAAAGUCACAACGGUAAAAGAUGAGCAUGCGUCCCAUUAGCUAGUUGGUAAGGUAACGGCUUACCAAGGCUACGAUGGGUAGGGGUCCUGAGAGGGAGAUCCCCCACACUGGUACUGAGACACGGACCAGACUCCUACGGGAGGCAGCAGUGAGGAAUAUUGGACAAUGGGCGCAAGCCUGAUCCAGCCAUGCCGCGUGCAGGAUGACGGUCCUAUGGAUUGUAAACUGCUUUUAUACGAGAAGAAACACUGCUUCGUGAAGCAGCUUGACGGUAUCGUAAGAAUAAGGAUCGGCUAACUCCGUGCCAGCAGCCGCGGUAAUACGGAGGAUCCAAGCGUUAUCCGGAAUCAUUGGGUUUAAAGGGUCCGUAGGCGGUUUAAUAAGUCAGUGGUGAAAGCCCAUCGCUC